This is a non-coding RNA of Microgenomates bacterium OLB22, 73 nucleotides long. The record is from Rfam. NCBI's taxonomy places the organism in Bacteria, Candidatus Microgenomatota.
GGGCCCGUGGCUCAGUUGGUAGAGCGUCCGCCUUGCACGCGGAAGGUCAGGGGUUCGAAUCCCCUCGGGUCCA